RNAcentral lists this transfer RNA (74 nucleotides) under Hyphomonas sp. RNAcentral's name for it is "tRNA-Ser". It matches the Rfam family "tRNA". Rfam says of the family: Transfer RNA (tRNA) molecules are approximately 80 nucleotides in length. The record is from RNAcentral. Lineage: Bacteria; Pseudomonadati; Pseudomonadota; Alphaproteobacteria; Hyphomonadales; Hyphomonadaceae.
GACAUUGUUUUCAUUGAACUAUCGCCCGACUUCUAAUCGGACGGUCGCAGGUUCGAAUCCUGCCGGGGUCGCCA